This 310-nucleotide long non-coding RNA is filed under the name Homo sapiens (human). RNAcentral describes it as "non-protein coding lnc-RDH10-5:1". The record is from RNAcentral. Lineage: Eukaryota; Metazoa; Chordata; Mammalia; Primates; Hominidae.
GCCAUAGUUCUGCAUUACCCCAUGCCCAUGGGCCUCAACCAGGGCCCAAGGUGAACAAGAAUAUGAGCAAGCUGAGGCAGGGCUGCCACCCUGGACACCUUACCAAGCACACAAAGCUUGUGUAAGACAUCAUCUGGGAGGUGUGUGGCUUCCCCCUGAAAGUGGCAUGCCAUGAAGCUGCUCAAAGUCUCCAAGGACAAGCGGGCCCUCAAGUUCAUUAAGAAAAGGAUGAAAACACACAUAUGCACCAACAGGAAGCAAGAGGAGCUGAGGCAAUAUCCUGACUGCCAUGAGGAAAGCAGCUGCCAAG